This 700-nucleotide ribosomal RNA is filed under the name uncultured bacterium. RNAcentral describes it as "bacterial SSU rRNA". It matches the Rfam family "Bacterial small subunit ribosomal RNA", at positions 94 to 792 of the family's 1533-position model. The record is from RNAcentral.
ACCGGCGCACGGGUGCGUAACGCGUAUGCAAUCUACCUUGUACAGGGGGAUAGCCCAGAGAAAUUUGGAUUAAUACCCCAUAGUGUAACGAAAAGGCAUCUUUUUGUUACUAAAGUUCCAACGGUACAAGAUGAGCAUGCGUCCCAUUAGCUAGUUGGUGUGGUAACGGCACACCAAGGCAACGAUGGGUAGGGGUCCUGAGAGGGAGAUCCCCCACACUGGUACUGAGACACGGACCAGACUCCUACGGGAGGCAGCAGUGAGGAAUAUUGGUCAAUGGGCGCAAGCCUGAACCAGCCAUGCCGCGUGCAGGAUGACGGUCCUAUGGAUUGUAAACUGCUUUUGUACAGGAAGAAACACUCCCUCGUGAGGGAACUUGACGGUACUGUAAGAAUAAGGAUCGGCUAACUCCGUGCCAGCAGCCGCGGUAAUACGGAGGAUCCAAGCGUUAUCCGGAAUCAUUGGGUUUAAAGGGUCCGUAGGCGGUUUUAUAAGUCAGUGGUGAAAUCUGGUCGCUCAACGAUCAAACGGCCAUUGAUACUGUAGAACUUGAAUUACUUGGAAGUAACUAGAAUAUGUAGUGUAGCGGUGAAAUGCUUAGAGAUUACAUGGAAUACCAAUUGCGAAGGCAGGUUACUACGAGUACAUUGACGCUGAUGGACGAAAGCGUGGGGAGCGAACAGGAUUAGAUACCCUGGUA